AUGAUGACCAGUGCUGGUGUGGUCUAUCCGCUGGUAAGAGAAAUGAUGAAUGCUGGUUCAUCAAGCAUGCCAGUGCACGUUUUACUGGAAAGAUUUACACAGUCAUUUGUGCAGAGGCGUCGCGCUAGAGAGGAGCAAGAGAAUAUUCAAGAGCUUGCGGCAGUUGAGGCUAGCAUAAAUUCGGCGAGUCAUUCAGCUAAUAUUGCUUUUGGCAUGGCGGGGACAGGGGCUUUCGCGGGAACAGAUCCUCAUGAGCAUAAAGAACCUGCACUGUUUGAUUUAAACGAGGCUAUUGAUGCAGAUGAGGAUGGUCCCAAUGCAGCAGGCACUUCAGUUGAUGAUGUUCUCGACAUGGAUACAACAGAGUCACAUGAGCAAAGGCAGCCACCACUCUUCGACUUGAAUGAGGUUAUGGAUAUACAUGAAGAUGAGCUUGCUGAGGUUGGAGACGUUGCUUCCGCAGUCCACCAGUCGCAGCAAGGCCCGAAUCCGGUGGAUGGAGCAGCUGUAGCCACGGACCAGGGAGAUUCGGUGCUGGAUGGUGUGGAACAGACUGAUGGUGUGGCUGCAGACCCAGAGCUUCAAAGUGCACUUGAACCUGAGCCCCCGACAGCCGAGGAACAUGAUAUGGACCGAAUGUUUGGUAAUGGUGAUUAUCCAUCUGUUCGGGAAAUCAUGGAAGCUCCUGCGCCGGAGCCAGGUCUUGAGUUCGAUUCGAGGGACCAAGCAUUCUUCUUUUUCGCCUCAUAUGCCCGGCGUGUGGGUUUUGCGGUAAAAAGGGACACCACAUAUGAGUCGAGGGUUUCAAAGCAGAUAAACAAGCAGUCAUUCAGCUGUAACCGGAGUCGGGCAAAUGCGUGCAACGACUCUGCGCUGAGGAAGAGGAUGACUUCCAGAAUCAACAGGACAAUGUGUCCAGUUAAGAUAAUAGUGAAAGAAGAAUCUGGACGAUGGGUUAUAAAAUCUACAAACCUUGAGCACAAUCAUGAGCUGUCUCCCAGUGAGUGGCUGGUUAGGUUUAUGAAGUGCCACGAAAGGAUGUCUGAAUCUGACAAGGCAUUGAUUGACAUUCUUCAAGAAAGCAGAGUGCCCCCCAGGAAAGUGAUGACCAUAUUCAGGAGGAUGAUGGGGAGCUUCAGAGGAGUACCUUUUGAUGCUAAGUAUCUGAGCAACCGCAAUGCAAAGAAAAGACUUAAACACAAGAACAAAGACAUUGAGGAGCUGCUGAAAAUUUUCAAGAGCGUUGAGGAUAAGAUGCCAGGUUUCAGUUACCAGCUCCAGGUCGACGCACACAACACCGUUAGAAGUGUGUUUUGGACAGAUGAGAUAGGUAGAGCAAACUACAGCCAGUUUGGGCAGUUUGUCUCUUUUGAUACCACCUAUUCCACAAACCAGUACAAUAUGCCAUUUGCCCCUAUGGUUGGCGUGGACAACUAUGGAAAGACUGUCCUGUUUGGUGCGGCAUUGUUAAAGGAUGAGAAGGAAGACACAUUCAGGUGGCUGUUUCGAGCAUUUCUGAGGUCGAUGGGGGGUCUGCACCCGGAAACCAUAAUAACAGACCAGGAUGUCGCAAUGCGGAAUGCUAUACGUGCUGUCAUGUUGCACUCAACCCACCGCUUCUGCAACUGGCACAUCCAGAGGAAAAUGAAACAGAAACUAGUCCCUUUCUUUGCUGCCCGAGGAACUUUGCAUGCAGAGCUCCGGAGCCUAAUCAGGAACUCGUUCACGCCUGAAGAGUUUGAGAGCGGAUGGCACGCUCUGUUGGAGAAGCAUGAUGCUCAGGAUGAAACCCACCUAAAGCGGUUGUUUGAAAUCAGAGAUGAGUGGGUCCCUGCGUACUACAUGGACAAAUUUUUCCCAUUCACGUCAUCAACUGGGAGGAGCGAGAGCACCAACUCUCUGUUCAAAGGCUACGUCCUCCGAAAGGACUCGAUUGCGACGUUUUUCAACCAGUACCAGAUUGUUCAGGAAAAGAAGCAUAGCGACCUUGAUCGACUGAGAGAGAAAUCAGAACUGAGAGAACAACGUUACUGGAGUUACGACCCUAUGGAAAGAGAGGCUGCAAAGAUAUACACACCACCAAUAUACGCCAAAUUUGUGGAAGAGAUGAAAAAAACCACAGCUUACAGAGUUGAGGUCGUUGCUGCUGCUGGUGAAACAAGAACAUUUCUGGUGACAAGGCGUGGCGAAUACCAGGACGCAGAGUUUUCAAAGAGGAUAUACACUGUGUCAAUAUCACCUGAUGAUGUCUACCGCUGCUCAUGUUCCAAGUUCAAUCGGGACGGGUUGCAUUGCUGCCACGUCCUAGCGGUAGCAAGACACAUUGGGUUGAGUAGCCUCCCUGAAAGCUUUAUAAAUCCUAGGUGGACAGUAGCUGCAGGGCAUGUGUUAGCUAUGAUGACCGAUGGAAAUGUUGGUCAAAAUGGACAGAGAACACACUUGACAGUCAGGCAUUCUAUAGUCAUGAGCCAGGUGUCGGACGCAUUGUCAAACGAAUGCACGGACGACAGGUCGUACGACCUGUUCGUGGAAGGAAUUGGUGAGGCAAUAAACAAAGUCAGGUUAGACAAGCGGCUCCGCCAAGAACAACAACUCUCAGGUGGGAAGCGACGGUGUAUUGAUGAUCCUCAGCAACUGAAUGUUGAUGCCAGGCAGGAGGGGGAUGGCGACCUGCAUAUCCCUACGCAGGUGCAUCGAAACGUUGUGUCUACCAUUGGUGCGUCUAGCAUGGGUGGAGUUGAGGUGCAUCAAACAUUUAGUUUGAGAGACCCCCCGCUGUCACGCACAAAAGGUUUCAACCUUGGUGAUAGGCCAAAGUCCAUGUAUGAAAAGGCUUCUGAUAAGCUUAAGAAACAAAAAGCAGUAAGGAAGUGUUCCAAGUGCAGGCUGCCAGGCCAUAAAAAGCCACAAUGCCCCCAAAAUAACCAGGCGACAUAA
Molecule: ribosomal RNA, 2937 nt
Filed under: Triticum aestivum (bread wheat)
Lineage: Eukaryota; Viridiplantae; Streptophyta; Magnoliopsida; Poales; Poaceae
Description: partial small subunit ribosomal RNA
Source: RNAcentral